This 506-nucleotide ribosomal RNA is filed under the name uncultured bacterium. RNAcentral describes it as "partial 16S ribosomal RNA". It matches the Rfam family "Bacterial small subunit ribosomal RNA", at positions 28 to 523 of the family's 1533-position model. The record is from RNAcentral.
GAUGAACGCUAGCUACAGGCUUAACACAUGCAAGUCGAGGGGUAACGAGAGGGAAGCUUGCUUUCCUUGUCGACGACCGGCGGAUGGGUGAGUAACGCGUAUCCAACCUGCCCUUCAGUAAGGGAUAGCCUUUCGACAGAAAGAAUAAUACCUUAUGUGAUCGUCUGAUGACAUCAGACGACAAUGAAAGAUUUAUAGCUGAAGGAUGGGGAUGCGUCCCAUUAGGCAGUAGGCGGGGUAACGGCCCACCUAACCUACGAUGGGUAGGGGUUCUGAGAGGAAGGUCCCCCACAUUGGAACUGAGACACGGUCCAAACUCCUACGGGAGGCAGCAGUGAGGAAUAUUGGUCAAUGGCCGUAAGGCUGAACCAGCCAAGUAGCGUGCAGGAUGACGGCCCUAUGGGUUGUAAACUGCUUUUAAACGGGGAUAAAGUGAGCCACGUGUGGUUUAUUGCAGGUACCGUUUGAAUAAGGACCGGCUAAUUCCGUGCCAGCCGCCGCAGUAA